This is a long non-coding RNA of Peromyscus eremicus (cactus mouse), 1690 nucleotides long. RefSeq lists it as uncharacterized. The transcript has 3 exons. NCBI's taxonomy places the organism in Eukaryota, Metazoa, Chordata, Mammalia, Rodentia, Cricetidae. The record is from RefSeq and is a predicted model, not a curated record.
UGUUUGUUUGUUUUACAUAUACUUGUUUCCUUUGUGCAUGUCAGGGGUACCCGCCAUAUGCAUGUGGGGGUUACAGGACAACCUUGUGGAGUCAGUUCUCUCCUUUCCAGGGGUCAAACUCAUAUCAUCAAACGCUAUUACCCAGUAAGCCAUAUCACCAGGCCCCUUUGAUAAGUUUUUAAGAAAAACAGAUAUUGGGAAAGAUGAACUUCAGUAAAACCUUUUCUUUUGAAACUGGUGAGUGGGAUUUCAAAGGCAAUCUUGGUUUCCUAAGUAUGCCCAAUGGGCACAUCUACUAUUUGGAUUCUCAUAUCUUUGAUAGCUUUCUCAAGCAGCUAAAACCCUCACAAAUUCCAACUAUUGGGAGAAGAAAACUCCUUCAAUUUAAAGAUUGACUUAUGAUGUAUAAAUUGAUGUAUAAAGGUAUAAAUUAAGUUUAAAUUUAAAGAAGCAUGUUCUUUCAUUUUACAUUCAAGGCAAACUUUGUUUUUUUUUUUCUUUGAGACAGGGUUUCUCUGUGUAGUUUUGGUGCCUGUCCUGGAUCUCGCUCUGUAGAGCAGGCUGGCCUUGAAGUCACCCAGAUCCACAUGGCUCUGCCUCCCGAGUGCUGGGAUUAAAGGCAUGCACCACCACUGCCCGGCUCAAGGCAAAUUUUUAAAAAGGGAGAAUGGAAGAGAGAAGAAAAGUAGGGAGGGAGAGAAGGAGAGGGAGGAAGGGAGGGGGCUAGUGGUCCUUAAGGGACAUUUAAAAAAUGCUGUCUAGAGAUACACUGAGUUUGUCCAAUUACCAUAAAUCUCUCCUACCCAAGACUCUCUCAAAGAACUCUGGCCCUGCUCUCCCAUAGGUUCCAGGACUGGCUACCACUGAACUUUAGUGUGACUCAGUGUCCCAAGAAGCAUCUUCCUUCUCUCAUGAGGCUCCUUGCUUUGGCUGCAUAGGGCUGGGACCUGCCCUCUCCUUUCAAAACAGAGAGUUUGGAAGAGCAUUCCUGUGCUGUUAUGACACCACUGGUCUGGAUCCUCUGCUGCUGCGCCUUCAGGCCGUCUGGGUCCUGCCACAGCUGCAAAACCCCAGGUAAGCUGCAGACCCUGUGAAGCUGUGGAAUGACAUCAAAUGAGAUUCAUCUGAAAAACCUACGACGAAAAAGGAAGAAAAAGGAAGGGCAGAUGCAGGAAGGACAAACAGACCGAUGCCAAUGAAAGGCACUUGAGCUCUGUCAGCUCUCAAGAGACUUCAGGGGUCAUUUAGUCAGUCUUCCAGUAAGACAUAAAUCCUAUCAGUGACGCUCUUGUCUCAGAACCAGAAAUGUUUCCAGAGAGGACUGGCCCAUGGGACAGUGACCAGAGAGGAAAAGAUCCACCCUCAAUACGGUGGGACCCUCAAAAGGGCAAACUGCCCAGAUGAUGAAGGUAAGUAUAGAGAAGGCAGCCCUCCAGCCAGCAAGUUUCUUUCUGCUCCAAGUGAUACCACCUACUGCUACUGAUGCCCACUGACAUCAGACUGAUUCUUCAGCUCUUCAAUACUGAUUCAUUGAAUACCGCAACUUUGCAGGAAACUUCCAAACUUCCGUGUUGUAUUGAGACUACUCAGGCAUCCUUGGGAACCUCAUUCUCUGCCUCUUCAGUGUGCAGACGGCUAUUGGUGGACUACCCAGCCUCUAUCCAAUCCAAUAAAUCCCCUUUAUAACAUA